Triticum aestivum (bread wheat) is the source of this 114-nucleotide non-coding RNA. Lineage: Eukaryota; Viridiplantae; Streptophyta; Magnoliopsida; Poales; Poaceae. The record is from Rfam.
CAGAUACUCCUUCCGUUCGGAAUUACUUGUCACAAAAAAAAUGUAUCUAUAACUAAAUUACAUCUAGAUACAUUUAUUUCUUAGACGAGUAUUUCCGAACGGAGGGAGUACAAG